GAGAGGGAGAGGAGGUGAAGAGGUGGUGGAGAGGGAGAGGAGGUGGAGAGGUGGUGGAGAGGGAGAGGAGGUGGAGAGGUGGUGGAGAGGGAGAGGAGGUGGAGAGGGAGAGGAGGUGGAGGAGGUGGUGGAGAGGGAGAGGAGGUGAAGAGGUGGUGGAGAGGGAGAGGAGGUGAAGAGGUGGUGGAGAGGGAGAGGAGGUGAAGAGGUGGUGGAGAGGGAGAGGAGGUGAAGAGGUGGUGGAGAGGGAGAGGAGGUGAAGAGGUGGUGGAGAGGGAGAGGAGGUGAAGAGGUGGUGGAGAGGGAGAGGAGGUGAAGAGGGAGAGGAGGUGAAGAGGGAGAGGAGGUGAAGAGGGAGAGGAGGGGGAAGAGGUGGUGGAGAGGGAGAGAAGGUGAAGAGGUGGUGGAGAGGGAGAGGAGGUGGAAGAGGUGGUGGAGAGGGAG
Long non-coding RNA from Oncorhynchus keta (chum salmon), 444 nucleotides. RefSeq lists it as uncharacterized. The record is from RefSeq and is a predicted model, not a curated record. The transcript is spliced from 6 exons. NCBI's taxonomy places the organism in Eukaryota, Metazoa, Chordata, Actinopteri, Salmoniformes, Salmonidae.